AGAAGGCGCCGUCUGCGUCGUCUGCGCCGCACUCAUUGCGCAUGCUCAGAAUUUUUGCGGGAAAUCUUUUCCCGCCAAAGUUAGUGUUGUUGUGAGAGGCAAAGGUUCUCGGGGAUAAACGUGCUCCAUAACAGUGUCAUAAUGGAAGGCUUUGAUAAUCCUGGCAUCUUCUUCUCCGAUAACUUUUCUACUGAAGAGCAAAAUGAUCUAAGUUAAAUCAACUUACAAACUGUAAAGAAGAAAUUUAGAGAAUUUUUGCGUGAAUUUCACGAAGGGAACUUCAAUUACAAAUACAGAGACUCUCUAAAGCAUCAUUAUAACUUGCGGCAAUAUUAUUUGGAAGUCAGUCUUGAAGAUGUAGCCAGCUUUGAUGAAACCCUUGCAGGUAAACUUAAGAAAGCCCCUACAGAACAUCUCCCACUCUUUGAGGAAGCUGCGAAAGAAGUUGCUGAUGAGGUGACUGCUCCUCGACCACAGGGAGAAGAGAAGGUAGAAGACAUUCAGAUUAUGCUGACCUCUGGUGCCAAUCCUGUUGAUCUUCGCAGUCUGCAGGUUUGUGAAGAGACUUCACUACAUUAUUUAAUAAAUUGUAAAAUGUUUGAAAACAUUUUUGAAAAUGUUUGAAAUGUUUGUAGCUCUUGAAAAGAGUUUGUACAGCGUGUCCUCACUUGAACGAACUAUAUGGGAUAAAGCUGAUUCGUUCCAGUGCAGAAUUAGUUCCAUCAAUCUGGUCGCAACAACCCUUCUACCCCCCCCCCCUCCCCCAAU
This is a non-coding RNA of Procambarus clarkii (red swamp crayfish), 768 nucleotides long. NCBI's taxonomy places the organism in Eukaryota, Metazoa, Arthropoda, Malacostraca, Decapoda, Cambaridae. The record is from RefSeq and is a predicted model, not a curated record.